This 483-nucleotide ribosomal RNA is filed under the name uncultured bacterium. RNAcentral's name for it is "partial 16S ribosomal RNA". It matches the Rfam family "Bacterial small subunit ribosomal RNA", at positions 28 to 523 of the family's 1533-position model. The record is from RNAcentral.
GACGAACGCUGGCGGCGUGCUUAACACAUGCAAGUCGAACGAUGAAGCUGGAGCUUGCUCCGGUGGAUUAGUGGCGAACGGGUGAGUAACACGUGAGCAAUCUGCCCUUCACUCUGGGAUAACUGCGGGAAACUGUAGCUAAUACCGGAUACGAGACCUUGGGGCAUCCCAGGGUCUGGAAAGAAUUUCGGUGAAGGAUGAGCUCGCGGCCUAUCAGCUAGUUGGUGAGGUAAUGGCUCACCAAGGCGACGACGGGUAGCCGGCCUGAGAGGGUGACCGGCCACACUGGGACUGAGACAUGGCCCAGACUCCUACGGGAGGCAGCAGUGGGGAAUAUUGCACAAUGGGCGAAAGCCUGAUGCAGCAACGCCGCGUGAGGGAUGAAGGCCUUCGGGUUGUAAACCUCUUUUAGUAGGGAAGAAGCGCAAGUGACGGUACCUACAGAAUAAGCACCGGCUAACUACGUGCCAGCCGCCGCUGUAA